GUCGAGCGGUAGCACARGAGAGCUUGCUCUCUGGGUGACGAGCGGCGGACGGGUGAGUAAUGUCUGGGAAACUGCCUGAUGGAGGGGGAUAACUACUGGAAACGGUAGCUAAUACCGCAUAACGUCUUCGGACCAAAGUGGGGGACCUUCGGGCCUCACGCCAUCAGAUGUGCCCAGAUGGGAUUAGCUAGUAGGUGGGGUAAUGGCUCACCUAGGCGACGAUCCCUAGCUGGUCUGAGAGGAUGACCAGCCACACUGGAACUGAGACACGGUCCAGACUCCUACGGGAGGCAGCAGUGGGGAAUAUUGCACAAUGGGCGCAAGCCUGAUGCAGCCAUGCCGCGUGUGUGAAGAAGGCCUUCGGGUUGUAAAGCACUUUCAGCGAGGAGGAAGGGUUCAGUGUUAAUAGCACUGUWCAUUGACGUUACUCGCAGAAGAAGCACCGGCUAACUCCGUGCCAGCAGCCGCGGUAAUACGGAGGGUGCAAGCGUUAAUCGGAAUUACUGGGCGUAAAGCGCACGCAGGCGGUUUGUUAAGUCAGAUGUGAAAUCCCCGCGCUUAACGUG
RNAcentral lists this ribosomal RNA (566 nucleotides) under Serratia proteamaculans. RNAcentral's name for it is "bacterial SSU rRNA". Lineage: Bacteria; Pseudomonadati; Pseudomonadota; Gammaproteobacteria; Enterobacterales; Yersiniaceae. The record is from RNAcentral.